Long non-coding RNA from Artibeus jamaicensis (Jamaican fruit-eating bat), 1019 nucleotides. RefSeq lists it as uncharacterized. The record is from RefSeq and is a predicted model, not a curated record. The transcript has 3 exons. NCBI's taxonomy places the organism in Eukaryota, Metazoa, Chordata, Mammalia, Chiroptera, Phyllostomidae.
UCUGUUUUCCCCAUUUGGGUGGAGCCCUUUCUGAGUGAGUCCAUUACAGACUUCCUGCUCAGCACUGGGUCGGCUGAAACCAGGUUGAAACCAGGCUGAAACCAGGCAGGGGAUACGAGGGAUCAGAGGCCUGGCAGGGCCCAGGGCAGGACAAUGGCAAGUACGGGCAGCAACCUCAGGACCAGGAGCCUUGAUGAGGAAGCCAAAGAACAAGGAAGGACCAAGAUGCCAAAGACCAGUGCAGACUGGUGUUUCAUUUGUACUUUGAUUUUCUCCUCUGGAUCCUACCAAACUGCCUUCCUCAUGGCUGAACCACCGUGUUCUCCCACCACUGGCUGAUGAGCCAUCUCUUCACACACAGACUUCACAAGGAGCUGGAUGAAGGGAUGCAGCCUGUUAAUCUGCAUUCUCUGACUGCAUGGGAGGCUGAACAGGUUUUCAAGUCUAUUGGCCUGAAAUUGCCUCUUCUAUGAAUUGCUGGUUUAUUUUUGGCCAAUGUAAUAAGUUGAUUGUCCUUCCUUUAAUGACAAGGAAGAGUUUGCUGCAUACUCUGAACUUAUCAAUAUGCUUCCUUGCCUUUAACUUUUUUAUGGCAACUUCUAUCUUGUUAAAGCUUUCAAAUUUGGAGUAAAAACUUAUAGUAUUGAUUUUAAAAGAUAGAUGCACUCUGUUUAUCACAAAUAAAUAAAAGCAAUGCUGAAAGUUACUGGUGAAUUCCAUGCACACUGUCUUUAACUGGAGUUCUUGUGUUCAUGAGGAGACAGAUUCAAUUCCACCUUUACUUCAGGGAAAGUUUCUUCUCUAGUAUGUACAACAUGUAUUUUUUUUAAUUUGGGGUAAAACUCUUCUUCCAUGCAUGCAACUUUAACCUUCACAGCUUUAUUUGUCCCUAAUAAAUCAGCUUUUUACUUCCUGCUCAUAAUAGUUGUCUCAAAUUUUCAUUUAUGACAACUACUUAAUUUUUAGUAGUUCUUGUGGGGUUUUCUUACUACCAAUUUUUUGAAAUGCUGAGUCUGUGA